AUUGAACGCUGGCGGCAGGCCUAACACAUGCAAGUCGAGCGGAGCGGCGGACGGGUGAGUAAUGCCUAGGAAUCUGCCUGGUAGUGGGGGCUAACGUCCGGAAACGGGCGCUCAUACCGCAUACUAGCAGAUGAGCCUAGGUCGGAUUUGCUAGUUGGUGGGGUAAAGGCCUACCAGGGCGACGAUCCGUAACUGGUCUGAGAGGAUGAUCAGUCACACGGGAGCUGAGACACGGUCCAGACUCCGACGGGAGGCAGCGGUGAGGAAUAUUGGACAAUGGGCGAAAGCCUGAUCCAGCCAUGGCGCGUGUGUGAAGAAGGUCUUCGGAUUGUAAAGCACUUUAAGUUGGGAAGCGUUACCAACAGAAUAAGCACCGGCUAACUUCGUGCCAGCAGCCGCGGUAAUUC
This 407-nucleotide ribosomal RNA is filed under the name uncultured bacterium. Its description in RNAcentral is "partial 16S ribosomal RNA". It matches the Rfam family "Bacterial small subunit ribosomal RNA", at positions 30 to 526 of the family's 1533-position model. The record is from RNAcentral.